GCGUGGCAUACGGCUCAGUAACACGUAGUCAACAUGCCCAAAGGACGUGGAUAACCUCGGGAAACUGAGGAUAAACCGCGAUAGGCCAAGGUUUCUGGAAUGAGCCAUGGCCUAAAUCUAUAUGGCCUUUGGAUUGGACUGCGGCCGAUCAGGCUGUUGGUGAGGUAAUGGCCCACCAAACCUAUAACCGGUACGGGUUUUGAGAGAAGGAGCCCGGAGAUGGGCACUGAGACAAGGGCCCAGGCCCUAUGGGGCGCAGCAGGCGCGAAAACUCUGCAAUAGGCGAAAGCUUGACAGGGUUACUCUGAGUGAUGUCCGCUAAGGGCAUCUUUUGGCACCUCUAAAAAUGGUGCAGAAUAAGGGGUGGGCAAGUCUGGUGUCAGCCGCCGCGGUAAUACCAGCACCCCGAGUAGUCGGGACGAUUAUUGGGCCUAAAGCAUCCGUAGCCUGUCCUGCAAGUCCUCCGUUAAAUCCACCUGCUCAACAGAUGGGCUGCGGAGGAUACUACAGGGCUAGGAGGCGGGAGAGGCAAGCGGUACUCAGUGGGUAGGGGUAAAAUCCUCUGAUCCACUGAAGACCACCAGUGGCGAAGGCGGCUUGCCAGAACGCGCUCGACGGUGAGGGAUGAAAGCUGGGGGAGCAAACCGGAUUAGAUACCCGGGUAGUCCCAGCUGUAAACGAUGCAGACUCGGUGAUGGGUUGGCUUCGCGCCAACCCAGUGCCGCAGGGAAGCCG
RNAcentral lists this ribosomal RNA (735 nucleotides) under uncultured archaeon. RNAcentral describes it as "bacterial SSU rRNA". It matches the Rfam family "Archaeal small subunit ribosomal RNA", at positions 76 to 814 of the family's 1478-position model. The record is from RNAcentral.